This 521-nucleotide long non-coding RNA is filed under the name Chloebia gouldiae (Gouldian finch). RNAcentral's name for it is "Erythrura gouldiae (Gouldian finch) lncRNA (ENSEGOG00005002864.1)". Lineage: Eukaryota; Metazoa; Chordata; Aves; Passeriformes; Passeridae. The record is from RNAcentral.
GCGGGGGCGGUAACGGGCGGGACGCGGCCGGCGCCUUCCCGGGGCGCGUCAUUCCGCCGUGCCGGCGGGUCCCGCGUGUCCCAGGGCGCCGUGACUGCGAGCCUCAAACGGCAGCUGCUUUCCUUUCCUGCACCUCCUCCUUUGUUUCAGCCGAAAGGGAGAUAGAUAGUGAGAAAACAUUGUAGCUCGAUGUCUGUCCCUCCUUCUUCCCAGCUAAUCCCUCAUCUGGAGGAUAGAGGAGGCGUGUCCUGCCAUGCUAAAUCCGUGUUUUCUGUGAUGAACAUGUUGGAACUUUUAUGCAGACAAAAAGGACUUACUGUUCAUGUUAGCCCCAGUGGGACUGCCUGCUACAUAACAUCAAUGAUGUUUUAUGUAGAAAUUCAGCUGGAGAAGGAUGGAGAUGUGAUGGAUGUGAAGUUGGCUCACUUUGAAGAAGCUCCUGUGGUAAAAUUAAUUUUCGCUGUCUCUCAUGACCCUUUAGUCUCCUACCUGGCUUCCAGCUAUCAUGUCAGAAAAGUUUU